This 481-nucleotide ribosomal RNA is filed under the name uncultured bacterium. RNAcentral describes it as "partial 16S ribosomal RNA". It matches the Rfam family "Bacterial small subunit ribosomal RNA", at positions 28 to 507 of the family's 1533-position model. The record is from RNAcentral.
GAUGAACGCUGGCGGCGUGCUUAACACAUGCAAGUCGAACGAAGCAUUUGCGACAGAUUUUUUCGGAAUGAAGUUGCUUAUGACUGAGUGGCGGACGGGUGAGUAACGCGUGGGUAACCUGCCUUGUACUGGGGGAUAGCAGCUGGAAACGGCUGGUAAUACCGCAUAAGCGCACAAUGUUGCAUGACAUGGUGUGAAAAACUCCGGUGGUAUAAGAUGGACCCGCGUCUGAUUAGCUAGUUGGUGAGAUAACAGCCCACCAAGGCGACGAUCAGUAGCCGACCUGAGAGGGUGAACGGCGACAUUGGGACUGAGACACGGCCCAGACUCCUACGGGAGGCAGCAGUGGGGGAUAUUGCACAAUGGAGGAAACUCUGAUGCAGCGACGGCGCGUGAGUGAAGAAGUAAUUCGUUAUGUAAAGCUCUAUCAGCAGGGAAGAUAGUGACGGUACCUGACUAAGAAGCUCCGGCUAAAUACGUG